GAUAUUGGGCGUAAGAGCUCGUAGGCGGUUUGUCGCGUCUGCUGUGAAAGCCCGGGGCUCAACCCCGGGUCUGCAGUGGGUACGGGCAGACUAGAGUGUGAAGGGGAGACUGGAAUUCCUGGUGUAGCGGUGAAAUGCGCAGAUAUCAGGAGGAACACCGAUGGCGAAGGCAGGUUUUUGGGCUGUUACUGACGCUGAGGAGCGAAAGCAUGGGGAGCGAACAGGAUUAGAUACCCUGGUAGUCCAUGCCGUAAACGUUGGGCACUAGGUGUGGGGGACAUUCCACGUUUUCCGCGCCGUAGCUAACGCAUUAAGUGCCCCGCCUGGGGAGUACGGCCGCAAGGCUAAAACUCAAAGGAAUUGACGGGGGCCCGCACAAGCGGCGGAGCAUGCGGAUUAAUUCGAUGCAACGCGAAGAACCUUACCAAGGCUUGACAUUCACCGGACCGCCCCAGAGAUGGGGUUUCCCUUCGGGGCUGGUGGACAGGUGGUGCAUGGUUGUCGUCAGCUCGUGUCGUGAGAUGUUGGGUUAAGUCCCGCAACGAGCGCAACCCUCGUUCUAUGUUGCCAGCACGUGAUGGUGGGGACUCAUAGGAGACUGCCGGGGUCAACUCGGAGGAAGGUGGGGAUGACGUCAAAUCAUCAUGCC
This 649-nucleotide ribosomal RNA is filed under the name Kocuria sp. CR437. RNAcentral describes it as "bacterial SSU rRNA". It matches the Rfam family "Bacterial small subunit ribosomal RNA", at positions 547 to 1199 of the family's 1533-position model. The record is from RNAcentral. Lineage: Bacteria; Bacillati; Actinomycetota; Actinomycetes; Micrococcales; Micrococcaceae.